RNAcentral lists this ribosomal RNA (400 nucleotides) under uncultured bacterium. RNAcentral's name for it is "bacterial SSU rRNA". It matches the Rfam family "Bacterial small subunit ribosomal RNA", at positions 362 to 776 of the family's 1533-position model. The record is from RNAcentral.
UAUUGGACAAUGGGGGGAACCCUGAUCCAGCGACGCCGCGUGAGUGAAGAAGUAUUUCGGUAUGUAAAGCUCUAUCAGCAGGGAAGAAAGAAAUGACGGUACCUGAGUAAGAAGCUCCGGCUAACUACGUGCCAUCAGCCGCGGUAAUACGUAGGGGGCAAGCGUUAUCCGGAUUUACUGGGUGUAAAGGGAGCGUAGACGGCGAUGCAAGUCUGAAGUGAAAGCCCGGGGCGCAACCCCGGGACUGCUUUGGAAACUGUAUGGCUGGAGUGCUGGAGAGGCAAGCGGAAUUCCUAGUGUAGCGGUGAAAUGCGUAGAUAUUAGGAAGAACACCAGUGGCGAAGGCGGCUUGCUGGACAGUAACUGACGUAGAGGCUCGAAAGCGUGGGGAGCAAACAGG